Molecule: ribosomal RNA, 774 nt
Filed under: uncultured bacterium
Lineage: Bacteria
Description: bacterial SSU rRNA
Rfam family: Bacterial small subunit ribosomal RNA
Source: RNAcentral
AGCGGCGGACGGGUGAGUAAUGCUUAGGAAUCUGCCUAUUAGUAGGGGACAACAUUCCGAAAGGAAUGCUAAUACCGCAUACGCCCUACGGGGGAAAGCAGGGGAUCUUCGGACCUUGCGCUAAUAGAUGAGCCUAAGUCGGAUUAGCUAGUUGGUGGGGUAAAGGCCUACCAAGGCGACGAUCUGUAGCGGGUCUGAGAGGAUGAUCCGCCACACUGGGACUGAGACACGGCCCAGACUCCUACGGGAGGCAGCAGUGGGGAAUAUUGGACAAUGGGCGGAAGCCUGAUCCAGCCAUGCCGCGUGUGUGAAGAAGGCCUUUUGGUUGUAAAGCACUUUAAGCGAGGAGGAGGCUACUGGUACUAAUACUACUGGAUAGUGGACGUUACUCGCAGAAUAAGCACCGGCUAACUCUGUGCCAGCAGCCGCGGUAAUACAGAGGGUGCGAGCGUUAAUCGGAUUUACUGGGCGUAAAGCGUGCGUAGGCGGCUGAUUAAGUCGGAUGUGAAAUCCCUGAGCUUAACUUAGGAAUUGCAUUCGAUACUGGUCAGCUAGAGUAUGGGAGAGGAUGGUAGAAUUCCAGGUGUAGCGGUGAAAUGCGUAGAGAUCUGGAGGAAUACCGAUGGCGAAGGCAGCCAUCUGGCCUAAUACUGACGCUGAGGUACGAAAGCAUGGGGAGCAAACAGGAUUAGAUACCCUGGUAGUCCAUGCCGUAAACGAUGUCUACUAGCCGUUGGGGCCUUUGAGGCUUUAGUGGCGCAGCUAACGCGAUAA